RNAcentral lists this ribosomal RNA (371 nucleotides) under uncultured organism. RNAcentral describes it as "bacterial SSU rRNA". It matches the Rfam family "Bacterial small subunit ribosomal RNA", at positions 526 to 896 of the family's 1533-position model. The record is from RNAcentral.
CGUAGGGGGCAAGCGUUGUCCGGAAUCAUUGGGCGUAAAGCGCGUGUAGGCGGUCCGGUAAGUCGGCUGUGAAAGUCCAGGGCUCAACCCUGGGAUGCCGGUCGAUACUGCCGGACUAGAGUUCGGAAGAGGCGAGUGGAAUUCCCGGUGUAGCGGUGAAAUGCGCAGAUAUCGGGAGGAACACCAAUGGCGAAGGCAGCUCGCUGGGACGUUACUGACGCUGAGACGCGAAAGCGUGGGGAGCAAACAGGAUUAGAUACCCUGGUAGUCCACGCCGUAAGCGAUGGGCACUAGGUGUGGGAGGUGUCGACUCCUCCCGUGCCGGAGCUAACGCAUUAAGUGCCCGCCUGGGGAGUACGGCCGCAAGGCUA